Gadus morhua (Atlantic cod) is the source of this 6429-nucleotide long non-coding RNA. NCBI's taxonomy places the organism in Eukaryota, Metazoa, Chordata, Actinopteri, Gadiformes, Gadidae. The record is from Ensembl.
AUGUCACAAACAAGCGUAAGUGCUACACAGGCAACUAAAGAAGCCAAGCAUGGAGACCCACAAGAAGAUGGUGAACAUACCCCAGCUCAAGCUGACUCUGGUGAGCAAGCUGAAGCGACAGCACAAGACGCACAAUCCCAGGUUGGUGCAUAUAUCACACAACAGCCUCCAGACAUGAGAAGAAGCGAACGUCCACGAACGCUAACUGAAAAAGGAAAGGCUCAGCUGGAUGAAAGGUUGUGUGAACUGAACACACAUUUUGUGAAGCUAUAUGGAAAGUGGAAAUAUCACAUUAAUGGCUUAAGACGAACCAUUAGGGAAAAUGAUGCUGUGGAUCUGAUUGAGGAUGUUGCAAGCACAAUCAACUCUAUCCAAGAUCAGAUUGACGAAACUUACCUCAAAAUAAGAGAUAUUGCUACUCCUGAACCUGAAAUCCGGAGAAUAAAUGACACAUGUAAUGCACUCACUGUGACUGCAAAUAAAAGGGCUCAACAAUACCUCAGUGGUAAUGAAGAUUCAGAAGUUGUACCCUGGCCUGAAGCUGAGUCAGUGUUUGACAACACAGUAUCCAGUGCAAGCUCGCUUAAACCCAGCUGUAAGUCAAACACCUCUUCCAGUCUGUCACGGUACAAUAAACUACAAGCAGCGGCCGAAGUUGCAGCUACACAAGAAGUUCUCAAAAUAAUGAAAGAACAACAUCAACGAGAAGAAGAGAUUCGGAAACUUGAGGUGGAGGAACAAAUGUUAACGGCUAAAAGAGAAGCUGAAGAAAAGGAAAUUGAAGCGGAGAAUACUGGAAAACGAACUCAGUUUAUUUCAGAAAGCGCUGCUAGAAAAACGGAGCUGGAAAAGAAAAGGCGAGAAGUGGAACGGUUGGAGGAAAUAAUAAAGCACAAUGCAGCACAAGCCAGGCUGAAUAUUUUCUCAGAAGAUCAUUAUGACGAGAUAGCGCACCAGUCAGCCAUUUUGACUGAACAGAGUCGAGACAUCUAUCCAUCCUCACUAAAGGUUCCAGUUUCCCUCUACCAACCAUCCGCUCUCAACCCUGUAAGCAACCCCUUAUAUCCUGCUCAACAAGCACCACCUCCCCAAGCUAGCCCUGCUCAGCAAACCAUACCUGAUCCAUCUUAUCAUCCACACCUAGCUGCCAUCACUAAGACCUCUCCCCCACAUCCCUCAAUGUUCACAUCCAAAUACACACCUCAACCAGCCAGUUUCCCUCAAUCUCCAAUGGUUCAGCAAGCCAUCCCCAAUCAACCUCUUACCAUUCAACAAGUCCCAUUUACCAAGGUUCCCACUACUCACUCACCCACAUUCACCACCUCUCAUGAAGCCUCCAAUGAUCUUGUGAGAACACUCGCUGAAGCGAUUACAGCCAAUCGUAUCCCAAUCCCAGAACCGGCUGUCUUCGUAGGAGAUCCUCUCAAGUAUAAUGAUUGGAAGCUUUCAUUCUGUACUCUGAUUGAUCGGAAGAACCUGCCAACUCAAGAAAAACUCUUCUUUUUGCGCAAGUACGUGGGUGGCCCAGCCAAAAGAGCUAUUGAAGGACAUUUCCUAGUAGCAACAGAAACGGCUUACAAAACCGCCUGGGACAAACUUGAGGACAGAUACGGCAAUCAGUUUGUUAUUGGUAAGGCAUACCGCGACAAGAUACACGCAUGGCAUAAAAUCGGCCACAAGGACAGCGAAGAUCUUCGUGAGUUUUCGGAUUUUCUAAGCAGUGUCGAAUCAGCCAUGCCUUAUGUUCAAGGUUUACAAGCUCUUAACGACUGUGUGGAAAACCAAAAAAUAGCUGCCAAAUUACCUGAUUGGUUAGGUGCAAAUUGGAACAGAAAAGUCACUAUGCACCAAGAUGAACACAAACUGUUCCCUGAUUUCAGUUGCUUCGUGCAGUUUCUCAACCUUGAGGCUCGAAUUGCAUGCAAUCCAGUCACAUCCUUUUCAGCAAUGCAGCUAAUAGCACAAGAAGCUAAGCAAAAGGAAAGGGAAUAUCCACAAAGUCAGAAACCCAGUGCUAGGGCUUUCACCACUAGCUCAAGUGAGAAGACGAGCAUCAUGUGCAUUUUCUGUAAGAGGCAAGGUCAUACUCUCCAUACAUGUUUCAAAAUGAUGGAAAGGACAGUUGAAGAAAGGGUUAAAUUUGUACAACUGGAGAAGUUGUGUUUCGGCUGUCUGAAGACUGGCCACAACUCCAAAUACUGUACAUCUAGGAGCAUAUGUGACUCAUGUGGACGAAACCACCCUACAUGCUUGCAUCAGGAUCGAUGGGUGUAUAACCAAGGAGAAAGAAGAGAAACCGAACGUGGACAAACUAACGAAACCAAGGAAGCUAAAAUUAAGGGGUCCACACCGUCACGUACCCAAGAGUCAAUGCAAGCUACCUCCAACAGAGUCGUUCAAGAGAGAGGUACCACUCAUACAUCUACUGUUGUCCCGGUUUAUGUCUCCACAUCAGCUGAACCAGACAAAGAAGUUCUAGUGUAUGCCUUGCUCGACACUCAGAGUGACACCACCUUCAUAUUAAAGGAUACAGUCGAGGCAUUGAAUGUCAAGAAGGAGCCUGUGAGACUGACAGUGUCAACAAUAACAUCAAUCAAAAAGGUUGUGUCCAGCCAAAGGGUGAGCGGUCUACGAGUAAGAGGCAUUAACUCUGAAAAUAUAAUCAACCUCCCAACAACUUAUACCAGGGAUUAUCUACCAGCAAAUAGAUCUCAUAUACCCACGAGUACAACUGCAAAGUUAUGGACUCACUUAGAACAUCUAGAGCAUGAAAUGUCUCCAGAGCUUGACUGUGAAGUAGGAUUGUUGAUAGGCUAUAACUGCCCCCAAGCCCUUCUUCCCAGAGACGUCAUUAGUGGCAGUGAGGACCAGCCAUACGCGCUCAAGUCUGCGUUGGGUUGGAGCAUCGUUGGCUGCAGCAAUGCUGGCCUUGAACAUGAUGAUGAAAUAGGCAUGAGUCACCGUAUCAUCACAAAGCAAGUCAUACCAGCAAUCAAGUCUUCCGUUGAACUCAAAUCAGAAGUCCAUUUUGUUUGCAGGACCCAAGUCAGAGAAAUGAUGACUCCAGCAGACAUAAUCAAAGUCUUCGAGUCAGAUUUCACUGAGAGGACCAGUGAAGAAGUUUCAAUGUCACAAGAAGACAUCAACUUUUUGGCAAAGAUUAAAGAGGGCAUCAAGCAAAAGCCUAAUGGACACUACGAAAUGCCAUUGCCUUUCAAGGAAGAAAGGCCAAGUCUGCCAAACAACAAAGCGUACGCAGAAAAUCGGCUUAAAUGCCUGGAGAAACGUUUGACAAAGGACGAACAAUACCACAAUGAUUAUGUGGCUUAUAUGGAGGACAUGAUCGCAAGAGAUGAUGCUGAAAAGGUUCCAGAGAUGGAUAUGUGCAAUCGGACAGUAUGGUAUAUCCCUCACCAUGGAGUUUAUCAUCCCCAAAAGCCGGGAAAGAUUUGCGUCGUCUUUGAUUGUUCAACAAAAUAUCGGAACACAUCACUGAACGAACAUCUACUCACUGGGCCAGACCUUACCAAUGCCCUCGUAGGGGUCUUGUGUCGUUUCCGUAAGGGGCAAGUAGCCAUCAUGUGUGAUGUGGAGCGUAUGUUCCAUCAGUUUCAUGUUGCACCAAGGGACCAAGACUACCUCAGAUUCCUGUGGUGGGAAGGAGGUAAUCUGGAAGCUCCCCCAUCAGUGUAUCGCAUGAAGGUUCACAUAUUUGGUGCUGCCUCAUCGCCAGGAUGUGCAAACUUCGGGCUUAAGCACCUCGCUGCACAAGGAGCAGGCAAAUUUAGCGAAGCCACCUUGAGAUUUAUCCAACGCAACUUUUACGUUGAUGAUGGACUGGCAAGUGUCGACAAUGAAGCAGAAGCCAUCCAGCUAGUCAAAGAAGCAAGAGAUCUCUGCUGCACUGGUAUGCUCCGCUUACACAAAUUCCUUACCAAUAGCAAGGAGGUGCUGGCCACGAUCCCAAAGAAAGAAUGCGCAGAUGGUGCUACCGACCUGGACUUGGCCCUCGGAGAACCCAAGAUAGAAAGGGCUCUUGGGGUCCAGUGGUGCCUUAGCUCAGAUAAGUUCCAGUUCAGAGUCGAGGUAAAGGAAAAUCCCUUUACCAGAAGAGGAGUAUUGUCAACAGUGGCCUCAAUUUUUGAUCCUCUUGGAUUUGUUGCACCCUUCAUUUUGAUCGGGAAGCAGAUCCUGCAAAGGAUGUGUCGGGAGAAGAUGGACUGGGAUGAACCACUUCCUGAUGACCUCAAGCUGCGUUGGGAAGCUUGGUUACAAGAUCUACACAAUCUGUCUUCAGUUGAGAUACCACGAUGCUAUGUACCCUCGACUAUCAAGGAAGUUCAGCAGUACGAAUUACACCAUUUUAGCGACGCUAGUGCGUCUGGGUACGGAACAUGUUCUUACCUCAGAGCUGUUAACAAGUCUGGAGAACCACAUUGUGCUCUUGUUAUGGGGAAAGCAAGAGUUGCGCCAACAAAGGUAACAACAAUCCCAAGACUGGAACUCUCAGCUGCUGUAGUCGCCACAAGAACAAGCGAUAUGCUUAUGCGUGAACUAGAACUGGAAGGCCUAUGUGAAUACUUUUGGACUGAUUCCAAGGUUGUUCUUGGCUACAUUAAUAAUGACGUAAGGCGGUUCCACGUAUUUGUAGCCAACCGCGUUCAGCGGAUUAAAUCCAGCACAGAGCCAAGUCAGUGGCAUUAUGUUGCGUCAAAGGAGAACCCAGCUGACCAUGCCUCUCGUGGGCGCACUGUAAAGGAGCUUGUAGAGUCCAACUGGUUUACAGGACCGAGUUUCCUGUGGCAAAGAGAACUCCCUCAGGAAGAAGAAAUUAAGGUGGGAAAGCUUGAUGACGAGGUCCCAGAACUCAAAGGAGCACAGGUUCACACUACUGAAGCACAGGAGGAAAGGUCACUGUCAGAUCGUUUACAGAAGUUUUCAGACUUAAGGACAGCGGUAAGAGCCAUAGCAAGACUUAAGCGGUGUGCAAAGGAGAUAAAGGGUCCAAAGACAGGAUCUGAUAAAGUUACUACACUCGAAGAAAGACAGGAAGCUGAACAAUUCAUAAUCCAUGCAGUUCAAGGAGAAGUGUUCAGUGAAGAAAUAAAAUCUCUGAAGCAAAGCAAAGAGCUGCCUGAGAAUAACUCAACUAAGCUGCACAAGUUAAGUCCAUUCAUCGAUAGUCACGAUAUCCUGAGGGUGGGAGGGAGAUUGACAGAAGCAGCACUUCAUCCCCACGUGAAACACCCAGCUAUCCUUCCAAAAGGGCAUCAUGUGUCUCGCCUAUUAAUUAAGCACUUCCACGAGAAGGUGCUACAUCAAGGUCGUGGAAUGACCAUCAAUGAACUACGCUCCAACGGAAUUUGGAUUCUUGGUUGUAGCAGUGAAGUGUCAUCCUUUAUCUUCCGAUGCGUUAAGUGCAGGAAGUUUAGAAAGUGUACUCAAGAACAAAAAAUGUCCGACCUUCCACUAGAGAGGAUGGAAGCCACCCCUCCUUUUACAUACUGUGGUAUGGACUGUUUCGGACCAUUUUAUGUGAAGGAUGGCAGGAAAGAGCUCAAGAGAUAUGGGGUCCUAUUUACCUGCAUGUGCUCAAGAGCUAUCCACAUCGAGAUGUUGGAUGACCUUACCUCUGAUGCCUUCCUCAACGCACUGCGUUGCUUUAUUGCUUUAAGAGGCAACGUAAGUCAGCUUCAAAGUGACCAAGGCACGAAUUUCGUGGGUGCACGAAAUGAAUUCAAGGAACUUAUGAAAGAAAUCGAGCAAGAACGUGUCAAAGAACUGGGAUGCAGCUUUGUCAUGAACCCACCUGCUUCCAGUCACAUGGGUGGUGUCUGGGAGAGGCAGAUACGAACGGUCCGAAGUGUCCUUACAUCCAUCCUAGACCAAUCUGCAAGAAGACUAGACAGUUCUUCACUGAGAACCUUCCUAUAUGAAGUAAUGGCUAUAGUGAAUAGUCGACCGUUGACCACAGAGUAUCUCAACGAUCCAUCAGGACCAGAACCUUUGACGCCAAAUCAUAUUCUGACAAUGAAAUCGUCAAUCAUUGAACCGCCACCUGGAGAGUUCGUAAGAGAAGAUCUCUAUCUGCAGAAGAGGUGGAAGAGAGUUCAGUUCUUGUCAAAUGAGUUCUGGGACAGGUGGAGAAAGGAGUAUUUGCUAAGUCUGCAACAGAGAAGUAAAUGGAACAAGGACAGGAGAAAUGCUAAAGUUAAUGACAUAGUCCUGUUGCAAGACGAUGCCACAUCCAGAAAUCAGUGGAAGAUGGCAAAGGUUACCGAAGUCUUCCCAGGAGUUGAUGGGAAAGUCAGAAAGCUCAAACUACUGCUUAGUGACACAACACGAGACAGUAAAGGCACAUACACAACUAGACCAUUUUAUUUGGAAAGGUCCAUACAUAAAACUGUACUUUUGCUUGAAGCUGAGUAA